This 417-nucleotide ribosomal RNA is filed under the name Triticum aestivum (bread wheat). Its description in RNAcentral is "partial small subunit ribosomal RNA". The record is from RNAcentral. Lineage: Eukaryota; Viridiplantae; Streptophyta; Magnoliopsida; Poales; Poaceae.
AUGACCCUGUCUAUGCUUCAUAGCCAAAACAUAAUCUUCUUUUGGUUAUUUGAUUUUCUUCAAGGAUCUGUCCCCUCAUGCUCCUCUUAUUGCCUCAAUAAAGUUUGGCCUUGUGGCAACUCACAAGGACAUACCUUGACAAUAGUUAUUUCAAAAAGAGAGGCAAAAGCAUCGCAUGAUAUAUAUCAUUUCAUAUAUCAUGGCAGGAAAAACACAUUGUGGUGGUCGCCCUUAGCUACGACGAUGUGCAUUCCUUGGCACCGGGAAUUGGCCUGGGAGGAGAGGAGGGGGCGAGUGACACCAGGGAGGAAAGGAGAGAUGGCGGCGAGAGGAAGGUGUGGGAUGAAUGACAUGGCAUCGAGGGGAAGCGACAGCAAGAAACCGUGGCGGGGAGAGAUGGCGGCGAGGACGCCGUGA